RNAcentral lists this non-coding RNA (97 nucleotides) under human gut metagenome. RNAcentral describes it as "TPP riboswitch (THI element)". It matches the Rfam family "TPP riboswitch aptamer (THI element)", at positions 10 to 89 of the family's 105-position model. Rfam says of the family: Vitamin B(1) in its active form thiamin pyrophosphate (TPP) is an essential coenzyme that is synthesised by coupling of pyrimidine and thiazole moieties in bacteria. The previously detected thiamin-regulatory element, thi box was extended, resulting in a new, highly conserved RNA secondary structure, the THI element, which is widely distributed in eubacteria and also occurs in some archaea. RNAcentral also lists the same sequence under 1 other name. The record is from RNAcentral.
GUAUAGGGGGGCUGGGUUUUCCCGGCUGAGACGGAGAGAAUCGAAUCUCCGCCACCCUUGAACCUGAUCCGGGUAAUGCCGGCGUAGGAAACGAAAA